GACGUAGGGCGCGAGCGUUGUCCGGAUUUAUUGGGCGUAAAGAGCUCGUAGGCGGUUUGCCGCGUCGUCCGUGAAAACUCACAGCUUAACUGUGAGCUUGCGGUCGAUACGGGCAGGCUAGAGUUCGGUAGGGGAGACUGGAAUUCCUGGUGUAGCGGUGAAAUGCGCAGAUAUCAGGAGGAACACCGGUGGCGAAGGCGGGUCUCUGGGCCGAUACUGACGCUGAGGAGCGAAAGCGUGGGGAGCGAACAGG
This 253-nucleotide ribosomal RNA is filed under the name uncultured bacterium. RNAcentral describes it as "partial 16S ribosomal RNA". It matches the Rfam family "Bacterial small subunit ribosomal RNA", at positions 524 to 776 of the family's 1533-position model. The record is from RNAcentral.